CGUAGGGUGCGAGCGUUAAUCGGAAUUACUGGGCGUAAAGCGUGCGCAGGCGGUUUAGUAAGACAGGCGUGAAAUCCCCGGGCUCAACCUGGGAACUGCGCUUGUGACUGCUAAGCUAGAGUACGGCAGAGGGGGUGGAAUUCCACGUGUAGCAGUGAAAUGCGUAGAGAUGUGGAGGAACACCAAUGGCGAAGGCAGCCCCCUGGGUCGAUACUGACGCUCAUGCACGAAAGCGUGGGUAGCAAACAAGAUUAGAUACCCUGGUAGUCCACGCCCUAAACGAUGUCAACUAGGUGUUGGGAGGGUAAAACCUUUUAGUACCGGAGCUAACGCGUGAAGUUGACCGCCUGGGGAGUACGGCCGCAAGGUUA
Molecule: ribosomal RNA, 371 nt
Filed under: uncultured organism
Description: bacterial SSU rRNA
Rfam family: Bacterial small subunit ribosomal RNA
Source: RNAcentral